GGGACCAGUGAUAACUACUGGUGACGUAUGAGUCAAGGAUGAUGACUAUCUCUGAAACUCCGAGGUCCAC
Molecule: small nucleolar RNA, 70 nt
Organism: Ictidomys tridecemlineatus (thirteen-lined ground squirrel)
Lineage: Eukaryota; Metazoa; Chordata; Mammalia; Rodentia; Sciuridae
Source: Ensembl